Molecule: ribosomal RNA, 478 nt
Filed under: uncultured bacterium
Lineage: Bacteria
Description: partial 16S ribosomal RNA
Rfam family: Bacterial small subunit ribosomal RNA
Source: RNAcentral
GACGAACGCUGGCGGCGUGCUUAACACAUGCAAGUCGAACGGUAAGGCCCUUCGGGGUACACGAGUGGCGAACGGGUGAGUAACACGUGGGUGAUCUGCCCUGCACUUCGGGAUUAGCCUGGGAAACUGGGUCUAAUACCGGAUAGGACUCCGGACUGCAUGGUCUGGGGUGGAAAGCUUUUGCGGUGUGGGAUGGGCCCGCGGCCUAUCAGCUUGUUGGUGGGGUGAUGGCCUACCAAGGCGACGACGGGUAGCCGGCCUGAGAGGGUGACCGGCCACACUGGGACUGAGAUACGGCCCAGACUCCUACGGGAGGCAGCAGUGGGGAAUAUUGCACAAUGGGCGCAAGCCUGAUGCAGCGACGCCGCGUGAGGGAUGACGGCCUUCGGGUUGUAAACCUCUUUCAGUAGGGACGAAGCGCAAGUGACGGUACCUACAGAAGAAGGACCGGCCAACUACGUGCCAGCAGCCGCCGUAA